Molecule: ribosomal RNA, 484 nt
Filed under: uncultured bacterium
Lineage: Bacteria
Description: partial 16S ribosomal RNA
Rfam family: Bacterial small subunit ribosomal RNA
Source: RNAcentral
AUUGAACGCUGGCCGCAUGCCUUACACAUGCAAGUCGAACGGCAGCGCGGACUUCGGUCUGGCGGCGAGUGGCGAACGGGUGAGUAAUACAUCGGAACGUACCCUGUUGUGGGGGAUAACUAGUCGAAAGAUUAGCUAAUACCGCAUACGACCUGAGGGUGAAAGUGGGGGACCGCAAGGCCUCACGCAGCAGGAGCGGCCGAUGUCUGAUUAGCUAGUUGGUGGGGUAAAGGCCCACCAAGGCGACGAUCAGUAGCUAGUCUGAGAGGACGAUCAGCCACACUGGGACUGAGACACGGCCCAGACUCCUACGGGAGGCAGCAGUGGGGAAUUUUGGACAAUGGGGGCAACCCUGAUCCAGCAAUGCCGCGUGUGUGAAGAAGGCCUUCGGGUUGUAAAGCACUUUUGUCCGGAAAGAAAUCGCGCUGGUUAAUACCUGGCGUGGAUGACGGUACCGGAAGAAUAAGCACCGGCUAACUACGUG